This 502-nucleotide ribosomal RNA is filed under the name uncultured bacterium. Its description in RNAcentral is "bacterial SSU rRNA". It matches the Rfam family "Bacterial small subunit ribosomal RNA", at positions 353 to 872 of the family's 1533-position model. The record is from RNAcentral.
AGUGGGGAAUAUUGCACAAUGGGGGAAACCCUGAUGCAGCAACGCCGCGUGAGCGACGAAGGCCUUCGGGUCGUAAAGCUCUGUCUUCGCUGACGAAUAAAUGACGGUAAGCGAGGAGGAAGCCACGGCUAACUACGUGCCAGCAGCCGCGGUAAUACGUAGGUGGCAAGCGUUGUCCGGAAUUAUUGGGCGUAAAGGGUGCGUAGGCGGUUUUUUAAGUGGGAUGUGAAAUACCUAGGCUUAACUUAGGAAUGGCAUUCCAAACUGGAAGACUAGAGUGCAGGAGAGGAAAGUGGAAUUCCCAGUGUAGCGGUGAAAUGCGUAGAGAUUGGGAGGAACACCAGUGGCGAAGGCGACUUUCUGGACUGUAACUGACGCUGAGGCACGAAAGCGUGGGGAGCAAACAGGAUUAGAUACCCUGGUAGUCCACGCUGUAAACGAUGAGUACUAGGUGUGGGGGGCGAAGCCCUCUGUGCCGCAGUUAACACAAUAAGUACUCCGC